This 362-nucleotide ribosomal RNA is filed under the name Clostridia bacterium. Its description in RNAcentral is "bacterial SSU rRNA". It matches the Rfam family "Bacterial small subunit ribosomal RNA", at positions 1 to 345 of the family's 1533-position model. The record is from RNAcentral. Lineage: Bacteria; Bacillati; Bacillota; Clostridia.
UUGAUUGAGAGUUUGAUCCUGGCUCAGGAUGAACGCUGGCGGCGUGCCUAACACAUGCAAGUCGAACGAAGCAAUAAAGACGGAGAUUCGUCAAAGCCUUUAUUGACUUAGUGGCGGACGGGUGAGUAACGCGUGAGCAACCUGCCUUUCAGAGGGGGACAACAGUUGGAAACGACUGCUAAUACCGCAUAAUGUACAGAGGGGGCAUCCCAUUUGUAUCAAAGGAGAAAUCCGCUGAAAGAUGGGCUCACGUCUGAUUAGCUAGUUGGUGGGGUAAAGGCCUACCAAGGCUGCGAUCAGUAGCCGGACUGAGAGGUUGAACGGCCACAUUGGGACUGAGAUACGGCCCAGACUCCUACGGG